This 460-nucleotide ribosomal RNA is filed under the name uncultured bacterium. RNAcentral describes it as "partial 16S ribosomal RNA". It matches the Rfam family "Bacterial small subunit ribosomal RNA", at positions 338 to 795 of the family's 1533-position model. The record is from RNAcentral.
CCUACGGGGGGCAGCAGUGAGGAAUAUUGGUCAAUGGACGAGAGUCUGAACCAGCCAAGUAGCGUGAAGGAUGACUGCCCUAUGGGUUGUAAACUUCUUUUAUAUGGGAAUAAAAUGUUCCACGUGUGGGAUUUUGUAUGUACCAUAUGAAUAAGGAUCGGCUAACUCCGUGCCAGCAGCCGCGGUAAUACGGAGGAUCCGAGCGUUAUCCGGAUUUAUUGGGUUUAAAGGGAGCGUAGGUGGAUUGUUAAGGCAGUUGUGAAAGUUUGCGGCUCAACCGGAAAAUUGCAGUUGAAACUGGCAGUCUUGAGUACAGUAGAGGUGGGCGGAAUGCGUGGUGUAGCGGUGAAAUGCUUAGAUAUCACGAAGAACUCCGAUUGCGAAGGCAGUUCACUGGACUGCAACUGACACUGAGGCUCGAAAGUGUGGGUAUCAAACAGGAUUAGAUACCCCUGUAGUC